AAACUGGUGAAACCCUGGACCACCGAAGCAGAGCACGCGAACUUAACCACUCAGCCACGGGGCCAACCCCUACUGGCAGCAUGUGGAGACUCAGAAGCGUGUUGUAGAACAAGAAUAAUCUCAGAUUACUUACCAUGUCACUCAGUGUUCUAAGUGUUCUAACUCUGUGAGGUUGGUACUAUUAUCCCUACUUUAUUGGUAAGGAAACUGAGAAGCUUGACUAAAUUAAGUAAGUGCUAAGGCUAAAAUAAAACCUAGGCAGUUUGAAUCCAGAGUCUAUGCUUUCAUGAAGCAAUGCUGACAUAUCAGACACAGAUAUAAUGACCGCCUUGGUUCCUGAGAGCUUUCCAGUUCCUGAUCUCAGGCCUUUGAGAAGGUCGAGGCUGCUCCGUAUCUUUGAAUUAUUUAUCAUAAUACAAUUUCAUGUCUUUGCUUAAACAAGUUUAAGUGAAUUUCAGCCAAUUGCAACUGGAAGAGUCCUGCUCCAGUUUGACUGUGAAUGGGGUUGGAAAUAACAAACCCCAGAGAAAGUGAAACUGGCUGAAUCAAGGUAGAGUAGCAGGCAAUAAAGACUUUCCUGCCCUAAAAUGGGAACUUGUUUUUUUUGUGUGUGUUGUGAAAUAGUAAAUCAUUUACACAGCUUUCUCCAACACUGUCUUAGAACUCAGACUAUAUAGCACUGAGGUAGGGCAUUAGAGAACUUAGUAGCCAAAUAUAAAAAAUGUGAAGUGCAUCAGUUACUACAUGUGGAGUUUUGAAAAGUACAUUAGGAAAGAGGAAUUCUAAACAAAGUUCUCAAAUGAAAGUAGAUUGGAGCGAAUAUGACAAUUUGUGCCAAAUUUAGCAAAUUUGACAAUUAUUGGCAGCCAGUUUGCCUUCAGUCUGAGAAUAUAUAACCAGGUCAAGAAAUUACUCAAGGGGCUCAAUUAAUUGCAAAAUAAGUUUUUUGCCACCUUGUUUCUAACACCAAAGAUUUUACGUUGAAUGCCAGAAAGUGAAAUUUUAGUAAUAGAAAUAGGACUCACAAGGAGGAACAAAUGAUAUUAAGGAACUCUAAUUCCUCAGCUCCCUCCAAAAUAUUUUCCACUGUCCAUCCCCUUCCAUGCCUCACAAAAGUGGAUGAUCCUUCACAGUGUCUGUCAGUAGCCCCUAGGGUUGGAAUGCACUGUGUGUCCGGAGAUAUUACUAAAUGGCAAACUACAAGCUGCCAUGCUCACUCUCUUGUUUGCUUUAAGGCCAAAGCAGAGAACAAUGAGGAUGGGCAGAGUCCCAGCUGUUGCUAAGAAACAGAAGUCCAGAAGAAUUGACAACUUAAGAAGAAACCUGACCCACUAAGGUCUUCAGCAUUAGCUAAAUACAAAAGGAAUCUCCCUAAAAGAAAAUUGGCAGGCAAUCCUCCACAGUGGAGCAGUUGCAUGCCAUAAAACCCGAAGUCUGCAGUUGACUCAGACCACAGGCUAUCUCAACUCCUCAAGCACCUCCUGUUCACCAGUACAAAAGAAUCUGCACCAGCGGUGCCAAAGCAGCACUGAUUCGGGUGCCCAGUAUUUCCCAAACCUCUGAGCGAGGCAGCUCUCCUCUAUUCUGUGAAAGGCUCCUCCUCUCAGGCGAGGACCCAGGUCCCUGGAGGAAGACUCUCUCUUUGGCUCUUCUCACUUGUUUGCUCUGAUGAAGCAAGCUGGCAUGUUGUGAACUAUCUUAUGGAGGUGCCAGCAUGAUAAAGAACUGAGGACGGCAUCAGGCCAACAGUCCUGUCCCAUGGAAUGCAUUUUCCAAUGGCUCAAGUCUGUGACAGGUGAUCUAAUGUGCCCUCAUAGUGUGCACCUAUUAUCUAUUUUGCAGUUGAUGAUUUACUCCACUAAAUUAUAUGCCCUUUGAGAGAAGGAACUGCCAUUAUUCGUAGAGUCAGUUUAAUGGUUAUGAAUAUGUCCGUUGCUAUCUGUGAGCCCUGGGUUCCAGUUCCAAUUUGCCAUUCAUAAGGUGUGUGACCCUGGAUGAGCUAUUUAUACUUCUUGAAUGUUAGUUUCUUUUAAAAAGUGGGAAAAAUAGUAUUACCUAACACAAGUAUUUUGUAGAUGAAAUUUUACAUAUACAAAGCACUGUGCUCAGAGGUUGGAGAAUAUUACAUGCUCAAUAAUUAUUACAGAGUAUUCCCAACCGAUGCAGAAUGAAUCUUUCAGUUCCCAUACGUACCUAUUGGACUUGGACACUGAACAAGGUUUCGGAACUAUGUAAUCAUCUUGAAUAGCUGACUCACAAGAAACAGUGUUAAUCUUGAAGCAAGUGAAUGAACAAAGGGCAAUGAGCAAAAUCUGACAAUCAGUUUUGGUUGCCAUGCCGUUGCAAACAUUACCCUACUACCCACUCACAUAUCAUCAUAUUGAAUAAGUUAUAAUAUUGAUAUAAAAUUGCUUUCAAAAUACUGAAAUUGAGAGUUGUUCUAACAGUUAGCCUGCCCUGAGUAAUAAGGAUAUUGCUGAGAAAAUGAAGUCCAAGCUCAUUUUUAUGGCACGGAGUUUUUCAUGGUCCUUUGUCUGUCUUCUUCUCCUACCCUAGCUUUCUGUGAGCUCCAUUCCACAUUUUUGGGCUCCUGUCACAUGCAGUUUUAUUGCAAACACCCUCAUCCAAUAGUUUCUGGUCCUCCCAAUUUACAUAGCAAACACUUUCAAGAUCCAGAUCAAAAUUUAUUUCUGCUGAUAAGAGUUUUCCUAUAAUCUAGUAUAUAAUUUAUCAUUUUAUUUUUUGUGUUCCUACAAUACACUAUAGAUUUCAUGGCAUAUUUCUUCAUAUGAAUACGUUUCCCUGUUAGACUGUAAACCAUAUGAGGGCAAACCUUUGUAUAUAGCAUGUACUUACUAUAUCUAAGCAAAGAAACAAAUGAUAUAGUAAUCUAAGCAUAUUUAAGGGACAUUAGCAACAGGAAUGCUUGCAUUUCAACUCCACUUGUUCUCCAUGCACAUUAAUAUACAACUAUCUCUUUUUCAUAUUUUCAGAAGAGUCCUUAGGUUCUUAAAUGUGUCUUUUGAUAUGUAGGUCAGUGUACUUGACUUAAGUGAUCUGGGAAGAUAAUCUCUACAAGAAUAGAGAGAAUGUGCUUAUAACACUUAGGGAUCUUUUAUUUUAAUGGAGAUCUUAUUCUCUCUUAAACACAAUCAAUACAUUGCCCAGAUGACUAAGGUAAUAAAAUAUGAGAACAAUGAAAACGAAAACAGAAUUUCCACACAAGGCCAAUGGGACAGUAUCCAAUUUGUUUAUGAAAAGAGUUUAUACAGUUUGGCCAACAUAAGCACACUGAAUUAAGACUUAGGACCAUGAUUCAAGUUAAAUCGGACCAACUGUAUGAGUGACUUAUUCUGAGGUCAAACUCAGAUGAAUACUGCCUGAGGGAGAACCACUGCAGAGCUAGAAUAUACUUAUCCAUUCUGCUCAGAAGGAAAAGAAACAAAAUGGAAAUUUGUCCUAGCCUGUUUGGGUCGUUUCCUCUGUCUCACAUGUGUUUGAGAGGUGGACAUAUUCUCAUUCUCCUGAUUUCUCUUAUCCAUCUUCUCUGCCCUGAUCAAAUGAGCAAAGCUGAGUUAUGGUUGCCCUUUCUGAAACACUCACGUAAUUGCUCCCUGCUCCUCCCCUGUCCAAGGAGUUGUUCACUUGUGAAGGUUGAGACCUGAAUUGCAGUCCAGCCUCUACUCAUUAGCAAAAUGAUCUUGGACAAGUUUCUUAAACUCCUUGAAGCACAGUUUCUGCCUUUGCAAAGUGAGAUUACAUCUCCUUACAGAGUGUUUGUGUGAACCAAAUGGUAGAAUGCACAUGAAAGCAGCAAGUAAACUGCAAAACACUACGCAAACACGAGUUCAGUGCUAUAAAUCGGUGCUACGCUGUGAGCACCAGUAGGCAGGAGUGGUGUUCUUUGUCUCUAACUUUCCAGUAUUUUUCUUUUAAGGGUGAUAUUGGUAGAGGGGACCUGUUCUGUUACCAUGUGUUGAGAGACAGAAUGUGAAUUGGGGACAUGUCAUGUUGCAGUCCACUCACUGAACAACCUCUGGGGUAAUAGUCUGUGUAUAGACCCACAUGUUCUGUGUAGCUGAGAGUUUAGUCUUUUAAAUCUCAACACUUUAAAAAUAUUUCUUGAUGGAAAUAUUUUCAAAAUAUAUUUAAUGGGGAAGGAGCUAGUGAAGGAGAGAUGGAUUAUUUAUUGUGAACAGAAGGAAAUAUAAAAGAUAUUCCAGCUCUACCUUAUUGCCUUGUAAAGAGCAUACUCACCAUAAUUUUCCAUUUUAUUGGUAAUUCAGGGACAUAAUUAGGAAUAUUAGUUAUACUGUGCUAUAACACUAUGAUGACUUCAGGGAAUAUGCUGUGUAUUGGGUUAUUUGCCUUUAUAUCGAAUACUUCCAAAUUGUUGUAUAUUUUGAAAUUUGAUUGUUUUUAUAAUUUGUAUUUCCUCCUCUGCUAUCACUUCUCUUCACUCUGGAGCAGUACCUGUGCUAGAUGUUUUCUCCCUUUUAUUUGCUGCUUUCUCAUAGAAGUCACGAGAGAGCCAAUGUACUCCAAAUCAGCUCACCUGUCUCAGCAGAGGCUCGCUGGGCACUCUAGGACUCUGAGUAUCCCAGAGGGACCUCCAACCUCCUUCACCGCCGUCUGACACUCAGAACCUCUCCCCCACACUGUGUCUUAGGAUAGUCAAGACUAAUCAUCAGGACAAGCCACUUAGUAAAUUGCAACUGCAUUCUUCUAGUUGCUAAGGCAAAAAAUCUUGGAGUCAUCUUUGAUUUUUCUCAUUUGCUUACAACCUAUGUCUAAUCUGUAAAGAAAUCUUACUGGUUGUGCUUUCACAUAUAACCACAAUCUGACCAUCCUACAUAGCUCCUUCCUUCACCUCCUGUAUGUCUUUACUCCAGUGUCACUUUCUCAAUGGAAGUCACGAUAAGUCACUUUGGACCCUCACACCCAACCACAGCAUUCUCUAUCCCCCUUUCCUCUUGCAUGUUUAUUCUUUAUUCCUCAUUACUAUUUAACAUCCUGUAUAUUUUACUUCUGUGCCUUUUAUAUUGUCCAUCACAGCAAAGAUUUUUGCUUGUUUCAUUUGCUGCUGUAUCCCCAAUGUUUAAAACAGUGCCUGACACAUAGUUGGAAUUUAAUAAAUAUUUGCUGGAUGAAUGAAUAAAAAAGUUAGUACUGAGAAUUAGGAAAAGUAAGAUAUUUAGAUCCAUAUGUACAAGAGCAAAUAGGCCCUUGGUUAUUAUCUCCAUGGUUCCCCUGUGAGUAAAAUUUUAGUUUUAUGAAGUAGCAGCUUAAUAACAAUAAUAACAACAGAGUACCUAUUAUGUGCAGAAGCCAUCCCACAUGCUUUAUUCACUUCUUAUUUAAGCUGUACAACCAUAAGAAAUAGUUAUCAUUAUCUCUGUUUUACAGAUGAGGCUAAGCAACUUCUUCAAAAUCACCUUGGUAGCAAGUGAUUAUGCUGGGAUUCAAAAUCAGUUCCAUCUGACUCCAGAGUUCCAUUUUAUUCCACUGUAAUACAUGGCUUACUUUUUGGAUCUUGGCUGGUGUUUUGGUAAAUGGGGGUAUUAACAUAGGCCAUAAACUAGGCGGAAAAACUGAAUGGUAUGCCAUUAAACCUGUUGAGUUCACCAUUUUCUUUAUUGCACAAAUUUCGGUAUAAUGAAAUUUUAAUAUCUUCUUUAUUUGUGGGGAGACCUGAACAGUCAAAAUGUAGGGUGAGCAUUGUUCACAUUUUUAAUUGAAAGUUAAAGGUUGUCCUGUAUCAAAAUGCAUGCAUGUAAUACUACAAACAGGUGUGCUUGACCUUUUUUAGUGUAAUAUUUGGUUGUUAAAAACGGAGUUUUAUUUGGUUUGAAUGUCUCUCUUGCAUUUAGGAGGCAAUAAAAAAGCCCUCCUGCAGCUAAUUUAAUAACAGCAAAUUCUCACAGAUGUAAUGCAAAUAUCUGCUGCGAGGCAAAGCCUGCUUCAUUUUAUUUAUUUAUCUCUGCAUUCAUUACAUUGAUUACACUGUAAUGGAAUUCAGGGACCCUAACAAUGGAAGAGAAAAUUGGAUAGGUGCAUGUGAGGGAAAAUUAGUGGGCUAUUUGUCCUGCAUUCAGACCAGACAUGGUGAUUUUUGUUUUGAGCUUUGUAACUCAUUUUCUUUGGAACCACGAUAGCCAACGUAGAUGUCACUCAAUUUCCAAAUGUAACUUGGAACAUUUUUUUUCUUUUGAUACAUUUUUAAUUAUAUGAUAAAAUAUGUUGGUAAAGCAAUCUACAUUCACAUAUAAAACUUCAUUUUCUAGAUCAAAGAAAAUGUUCAUUGUAAAUCGUACAUACUUGAGUAAUUUAAUGACUUAGGAUUUAGGAGAACUGAUUCCUAGUUCCAACUUUUACAUUUUCUUAAUAUUUCUGUGCCUUGAUUUCUUCCUCUGAAAAGUGAGAAUAAUCCUCAUCCUGUUUAUUUUGUGGACAUGUUGAAACUUGCAUCAGGUAAUUUAUGAGAAAUCACUUUGUAAAUUGGAGUGCCAAUGUAAAUGUAAAACGAUAGUGAUUUUAUUACUAUUGUAUCGCUUAAAGGGAUUAGUAAGUGUUUUAUCAACUUUAUACUUUUUCCAAAAAUCGAUUGUUUUGGAUUAUAACAUUCACCUGUUUUGAUUAUUUUUCAGUUAAUGCAGAAUUUUGUGGAGUAUAAGGUAAGCCAUUGAUGGAUUUAAACUAUAGUACUGGUAAUUGAUCAACAUCCUAACGCUUAUUUAGAUGGCAUUUUAUUUUUCACCUUCAUUUUUCUUUUGUCACUAAAAUAAUUAAUGUUGAUGUUUCUAUCGUUUCUAUUUUUUGUGGUUAUAAAUAAGGCAAUAAUGCACACUUGAGUAUAUAUGCCUUUGCAUAUUUGUGUAACUUAAUCCCAAAUUUUCUGGUUUACAUGAUCUGCACUUUAUAAAGGCUUUUGCCUAGAUCCUAUCUGGGUUAAAAAUAGAAGACCCUUUUGUUGGCCUCUCCCAAAUUCUUCACUUUAAAUCUAUAAUUUUAAAUCUACAAGAGGAUCAUCUGAACAUCACAUUCCACAAUAUAUGUAAGUACUGAAACACAAUCAAUUUGUGUGUCAAAAAGAAAAAGAAAACAUAAUCAGACUUUCUGUUAUUGGUUUCUAAUUUAAUUCCAUUGUGGUCAGAGAACAUACUUUGUAUGACCUAUGUCCUUGGUUUUAUGGCCCCAAAUAUGGUCUACCUUAGAAAAUGUUCCGUUUCCACUUAAAAAGAAUGCUUAUUCUGCUGCUGUUGGGUAGAGUGUUCUACAGAUGUCAGUUCUAUAGAUGUCAGAAGUUGGUUGAUAGUGUUGUUCAAGUUUUCUUUAUCUGUGUUAGUUUGCUAGGGCUUCCAUAACAAAAUGCCACAAACUGAGGAUCUGAAAGUCUGACACCAAGGUGUUGGCAGAGCCAUACUUCCUCUGAAGGCCCCAUUCUAGGCCUCUCUCCUAGCUUCUGGUAGUUCCUUGGCUUGUGGCAUCAGAACUCCAAACUUCACAUAGCAUUAUUCCCGUGUGCUUGCCUUGUGUCCAAAUUUCUCCUUUUUAGAAGUCAGUCCAAUCAUAUUGGAUUAGGGGCCUAUCCUACUCUGGG
Equus caballus (horse) is the source of this 7600-nucleotide non-coding RNA. Lineage: Eukaryota; Metazoa; Chordata; Mammalia; Perissodactyla; Equidae. The record is from RefSeq and is a predicted model, not a curated record.